GAGGGGAGGCGGCGGCUGGGGUUUCGUUCGACGCCCACCAGGGGCUGAGCGAGCCUCCUUCAGUGCGCAAACUCGGGGCACCAGAUAAAAGCUGGGCUGGCAGCUCUUACCUUGCCUCGAUGGAGCCGCCACAAUCGGGUGACUGGAGGAGCAGUUAGCAGCAGCGCCAUAGACUAGCGUCCCCCCACACCCUGAGCAGAGAGAGUUUGGGGCUCUAAACAGCUGCUGCUGCGGCAGGAGGGAGCCGAGGGUGCUUGCCUGGGGCUGCUCGCUCGGGUUCUGCCUGUUGUUGCGCGAAAUGGCGGCUGGCGUCUUGCGCCGGGGCUGUGAGGAGAGGAGCGGGGGAAGAGUGAGAGAGGAGCAACUCGUGCCUGCUUUUGUAACUGCGUCAGUACAAGAUGGCGCAGGGUCUCCCUGGAGAGGGAAGGGAGUUGCACGUCCGCCGGAGGUCAUGUGACCGUGUUGCAUUCUUGUGGGGUUUGGCUGCAGACCAAGCUGGCUGAGGCGGCGGCGGCAGCCCGGGAGAGUCCGUGCUUCCCUCCCCCUCCCCGCACAAUGCCGUCGGUGCCGCGUUGGUUCCCAUUUCCCUUCCCCCAUUAGCCUUGUGCACGAGGGUGUAGCUGCCGCUGAGGAAGGUUCUCGCUUCUCUCCUUAUUCUCCACCCAUCUCCAGGGUGUAGCUGCUCUUGGGGGGAAGCUUUCCAUUCCGCCCCCUCUCUGCGUAAGGCUUUACCCACCGCAAGGGAAAGUUCCCCCUCGGCGCCUACUCACUCCGCCCGAGUGUGGGAGCAGGCGGUGCGCGGCUCCUGCGCUGGGCCUUCCAGCUGCCGGGUGUACUAACGCAAAUGCCACCCGCUCUCGGUCGGCUUCCCCUUCUCGUGUACGAGAGCACUUUUAUCUGUAAGUUAGGUUCCCCGGAAUCAUAGAAUGGUUCUUACUGAGUAACUUGCUGAAAAAGUCGGUUUGAGCGAUGUUUAAAUGAUCUCAUUAAAACAGCUGAGGAAAAUGUACAGGCUAUGCCGAGUUGUUCUUCUGACGAGGAGGUCGUCGCAUUUCCAGCGUUGCUUUGCCGGGGGUACGGCGGGGGGCCUAUGGAAAAAUCUGCAAGCUAUUAAUGACUUUAUUUUAUUUGAAGAGAAUUUCGUUAUGGAAAAACGGAUCGAUAUUCUUUUAUUUGUAUGUUGUUGGAUCCUGUUGUAGGAGUUGAGCAGCUUUUCUAUGGGGUAAUGUGGUGUGUAUUACAAAGUUAGGCCACAGAUGGCCUGCAUCUUUAACACAGGGAUUUAAGUAUAUACUUAGUGCAAAUGAAAACUAUGGUAUGCAAAUAUCGUGAAGAUGCCCCGUGUCUGUCUUUCUGAGGUUCAUAGGAAAAUGAACUUGUCACACAGGUCUGGGUAGGCUUGGAAGCUUGGCAAAUAUAUUUUCUGGGUCUCUUUUAAUUUCAAUAUUCUGAUGGGGGGAAGUGAAAAAUGUAUGUUUUCCAAUCCUAACACUUUUAUUUAAGGAAUGCAACUCGUGUUACUGUUUGGGUGGGGUUCUCAUGUUUUCAGAGCAAUUCGGUGCUAGUUCCCAUGUCUUGUUCUUGUAUGGCAGGGUGUAAGUUUAGCCUCUGCAUCUAACCCAACGAACAAAUUAACAGUUAAAAUUGCUGAUGCUUUAAGGGUGGUCGUUUGUUCCAUUUAGAAAUGUUUCAUAGCACUACUUCUGUUCUCAGUCUGUCCCCAGAUAGAUGUGAAUCUUUUUUUUUUCUUUUUUCCUCCACAGUAGUAAUCUGGUGGGGGAUAAAGCUUGAAUAUUUGGUGAAUGUGUUGUAUGAGAACUACUGGAAUGAAAGUAGCUGAGUAUAUGACUAAUAUAGAAGACUCCUAUAUAAUAGACGCUACUUAAUACGUGUUACAUAAAUAAUAUGGUGAGGUGGAGUCUAGUUACAUAAGAACUGACUGGGAACUUGGGAGCUACUGUAAGUAGUCCAUAUGAGUUGCAGAUACAGCCUGUAGGGCUUCUGUGUGUUGUUGGAGGAGGGGUAGAAGAACAGGAUUGGAAGCAUCUAAUAGUGCUACAUUUUUCCUUUGUAGGUCAUAUAAAGGAUACCGGGAAAGAAAUGGAGGAGACGGUAAUUAAGGAUGACACAGUGUGAAGCUCUCGAAAGUUUGAAGUCUCAUUUGAGCUUUUAGGAUAUAAGCUCUGCUUCCUAAAAGAACAGCCCCCCCUUUUUUUGAGCGUCAGGUGGUGGCUCUUGGCAGAGCAUUGCACCAACUAAUUUUGUUCUGUGCAGACUAAAGAGCAGGAUUCUUAAGUCCUAGAGGUUGAUAGGCACUU
Aptenodytes forsteri (emperor penguin) is the source of this 2318-nucleotide long non-coding RNA. RefSeq lists it as uncharacterized. The record is from RefSeq and is a predicted model, not a curated record. Lineage: Eukaryota; Metazoa; Chordata; Aves; Sphenisciformes; Spheniscidae. The transcript has 3 exons.